Molecule: ribosomal RNA, 112 nt
Filed under: uncultured eukaryote
Lineage: Eukaryota
Description: partial small subunit ribosomal RNA
Rfam family: Eukaryotic small subunit ribosomal RNA
Source: RNAcentral
UCGCUACUACCGAUUGAAUGGCUUAGUGAGCUUCACGGACUGGAGCGUUUCGUUGGUUCGCCAAUGUUUCGCACUGGGAAGUGAAUCAAACUUGAUCAUUUAGAGGAAGUAA